CUGCAUUGUUGUUGCAUUGCAUC
Molecule: microRNA, 23 nt
Filed under: Petromyzon marinus (sea lamprey)
Lineage: Eukaryota; Metazoa; Chordata; Hyperoartia; Petromyzontiformes; Petromyzontidae
Description: Pma-Mir-33-o2_5p (mature (guide))
Source: RNAcentral